Molecule: unclassified non-coding RNA, 433 nt
Filed under: soil metagenome
Description: partial contains 5.8S ribosomal RNA, internal transcribed spacer 2, and large subunit ribosomal RNA
Rfam family: 5.8S ribosomal RNA (bases 1-120)
Source: RNAcentral
GAUGAAGAACGUAGCGAAAUGCGAUACGUAAUGUGAAUUGCAGAAUUCAGUGAAUCAUCGAAUCUUUGAACGCAUAUUGCGCUCCCUGGUAUUCCGGAGAGCAUGCUUGUUUGAGUAUCAGUAAACACCUCAACUCCCCUUUCUUUUUUUGAAAUGGGAGCUGGACUUGAGUGAUCCCAACGCUUUUCUCACCGAAAAGUGGCGGGUUACUUGAAAUGCAGGUGCAGCUGGACUUUUCUCUGAGCUAAAAGCAUAUCUAUUUAGUCUGCCUAAAAAACAGAUUAUUACCUUUGCUGCAGCUAACAUAAAGGAGAUUAGUUCUUGUGCUGACUGAUGCAGGAUUCACAGAGACAGCUUCGGCUGGCCUUUGUAAACUCGAUCUCAAAUCAAGUAAGACUACCCGCUGAACUUAAGCAUAUCAAUAAGCGGAGGA